RNAcentral lists this small RNA (520 nucleotides) under uncultured Entrophospora. Its description in RNAcentral is "SSU rRNA". It matches the Rfam family "Eukaryotic small subunit ribosomal RNA", at positions 569 to 1085 of the family's 1831-position model. The record is from RNAcentral. Lineage: Eukaryota; Fungi; Glomeromycota; Glomeromycetes; Entrophosporales; Entrophosporaceae.
AGCAGCCGCGGUAAUUCCAGCUCCAAUAGCGUAUAUUAAAGUUGUUGCAGUUAAAAAGCUCGUAGUUGAAUUUCGGGAUUGACACAUCGGUCGUGCCUUAAGGGGUAUGAACUGGUGUAGUCAAUUUCUCACCUUCUGGAGAACCGCGAUGCCCUUAAUUGGGUGUCGCGGGGAACCAGGACCUUUACUUUGAAAAAUUAGAGUGUUUAAAGCAGGCAUUUUGCUUGAAUACAUUAGCAUGGAAUAAUAAAAUAGGACGGCAUGAUUCUAUUUUGUUGGUUUCUAGGAUCACCGUAAUGAUUAAUAGGGAUAGUUGGGGGCAUUAGUAUUCAAUUGUCAGAGGUGAAAUUCUUGGAUUUAUUGAAGACUAACUACUGCGAAAGCAUUUGCCAAGGAUGUUUUCAUUAAUCAAGAACGAAAGUUAGGGGAUCGAAGACGAUCAGAUACCGUCGUAGUCUUAACCAUAAACUAUGCCGACUAGGAAUCAGACGAUGUUAAUUUUUAAUGUACUCGUUUGGCA